UAGCUUUUUGGGAUAUAUAUGCUCUAUAAUGGGCUUAUCACUUCGGUGAUUAUGACGCUAAACGCUGUUGUGGAAUAAGCGGCGUGGACCCGGGGGCAGUGCCCGGCGGCUCCACCAUAAGAAGAAGGACUUAAUGUUUGUCUUUUUGUGAUGGGGCCGAAACAGGAUCGACACACGUAGUAAAGACAUUUAGCGGCGUUCGAGAUAGUUCCUUCGAUACAGGGCUAAGCAUUAUAAAUGCAAACGAUAACCAAGUCGUAGCAAAUGAUAACUUCGCAGUUCGUGAAGCUAUCGCUGCCUAAUUUAUUAGGUAGGUAGUAGCUACAAUUCAAUUCCUAUCAUCUAGACAAUGGUAGGUGGGGGCUGGGUCCACCUCGCAACAGAACGGACCCAUU
RNAcentral lists this transfer-messenger RNA (395 nucleotides) under Alphaproteobacteria bacterium. It matches the Rfam family "Alphaproteobacteria transfer-messenger RNA". Rfam says of the family: Bacterial tmRNA, also known as 10Sa RNA or SsrA, is named for its dual tRNA and mRNA-like properties. Its role is to liberate the mRNA from a stalled ribosome. The record is from RNAcentral. Lineage: Bacteria; Pseudomonadati; Pseudomonadota; Alphaproteobacteria.